CUACACAACACUGUCUCUUUAAAUA
Molecule: non-coding RNA, 25 nt
Filed under: Rattus norvegicus (Norway rat)
Lineage: Eukaryota; Metazoa; Chordata; Mammalia; Rodentia; Muridae
Source: RNAcentral